This is a non-coding RNA of Nomascus leucogenys (northern white-cheeked gibbon), 148 nucleotides long. It matches the Rfam family "Metazoan signal recognition particle RNA". From Rfam's summary of the family: The signal recognition particle (SRP) is a universally conserved ribonucleoprotein. It is involved in the co-translational targeting of proteins to membranes. The eukaryotic SRP consists of a 300-nucleotide 7S RNA and six proteins: SRPs 72, 68, 54, 19, 14, and 9. The record is from Rfam. NCBI's taxonomy places the organism in Eukaryota, Metazoa, Chordata, Mammalia, Primates, Hylobatidae.
GCCGGGUAUGGUGGUGCAUGCUUGUAGUCCCAGCUACUCUGGAGGCUGAGGUGGGUGAAUCGCUUGAACCCGGGAGGCUGAGGUUGCAGUGAGCCAAGAUCACACCACUGCACUCUAGCCUGGGCAACAGAGUGAGACUCCAUCUCAA